CAGUAGCCGCGGUAAUACAGAGGGUGAGAGCGUUAAUCGGAUUUACUGGGCGUAAAGCGUGCGUAGGCGGCUUCUUAAGUCGGAUGUGAAAUCCCCGGGCUCAACCUGGGAACUGCAUUGGUGACUGCAACGCUGGAGUGCGGCAGAGGGGGAUGGAAUUCCGCGUGUAGCAGUGAAAUGCGUAGAUAUGCGGAGGAACACCGAUGGCGAAGGCAAUCCCCUGGGCCUGCACUGACGCUCAUGCACGAAAGCGUGGGGAGCAAACAGGAUUAGAUACCCCUGUAGUCCCUGUCUCUUAUAC
RNAcentral lists this ribosomal RNA (301 nucleotides) under uncultured bacterium. Its description in RNAcentral is "partial 16S ribosomal RNA". It matches the Rfam family "Bacterial small subunit ribosomal RNA", at positions 509 to 807 of the family's 1533-position model. The record is from RNAcentral.